RNAcentral lists this ribosomal RNA (355 nucleotides) under uncultured soil bacterium. Its description in RNAcentral is "bacterial SSU rRNA". It matches the Rfam family "Bacterial small subunit ribosomal RNA", at positions 933 to 1289 of the family's 1533-position model. The record is from RNAcentral.
UGGAGCAUGUGGUUCAAUUCGACGCAACGCGAAGAACCUUACCCAGGCUUGAACUGCGAGUGACAUCCUACGAAAGUAGGCUUCCGCAAGGACACUCGUAGAGGUGCUGCAUGGCUGUCGUCAGCUCGUGUCGUGAGAUGUUGGGUUAAGUCCCGCAACGAGCGCAACCCUUGUCUUCUGUUGCCAUCGGGUUAUGCCGGGCACUCUGAAGAGACUGCCGGUGACAAACCGGAGGAAGGUGGGGAUGACGUCAAGUCAGCAUGGCCUUUAUGCCUGGGGCCACACACGUGCUACAAUGGCCGGUACAAACCGUCGCGAUCUCGCGAGAGGGAGCUAAUCGGAGAAAGCCGGUCUC